CAUGGCAGGCAAUGUCCACGAGGUUUUCAUAUUAACCGUGAGGAAUCAUUACAAGCUCGAAAGGCUCCUCCUACAAGGCAUAGAAGCCUUGUUAUCAGUCAGGACUGCAGAGGAAGGAGGGGACCAAAAGUGUAACAGAAGAUACUAGCUGGGAUGCAGCUUCCUGAGGCAAAGAAGACUGGCUAGAACAACCUAGGCUCUUUCUGUCCUCUCCAUCUCUGAGUGUCGUGAAACUGUUCCGACGUCCCACAGAAGCCUUAAUUCUGGUGAUCACCACCAAAAUCUUCAUCUUCUGAACCUAGACCAACUGGCACAGUUUUCUCCCCAGAGAGCAGCCAAGUCUUCGUUAUAGAGAAAACACCAGGAUAAUCUGUCUGUGGUGACCUUUUGUAAAUAUCCAGACCAA
Molecule: long non-coding RNA, 406 nt
Filed under: Rattus norvegicus (Norway rat)
Lineage: Eukaryota; Metazoa; Chordata; Mammalia; Rodentia; Muridae
Description: long non-coding RNA NONRATT018553
Source: RNAcentral